RNAcentral lists this long non-coding RNA (293 nucleotides) under Musa acuminata (dwarf banana). Its description in RNAcentral is "long non-coding RNA (MACU_LNC005941)". The record is from RNAcentral. Lineage: Eukaryota; Viridiplantae; Streptophyta; Magnoliopsida; Zingiberales; Musaceae.
CAAGAACAAACCACACCUGGACCCGACCAAGAUCCCACCUUUCCCACAAAUCUGAUGCCGAGACCUCUGUCUCUUCACAGACUAAAGAUCAAAACCGAAGCUUGACAACGCAAUGCGUCUUCGCCCGGCGGGAGAGACCCAAAAAAGGCGAAAUCUUCACAAGAAGAAGACACGCUCCGUCGGACUCUCUAUCUCCCCAUCGUUCUGAGACGAGCUGCUGCUGCUGCCGCCGCCGCCGCUCUCCUCUCCCCUCCCGCAAUAAAAAGGGCACGACGACAAAUCCGAUCAAAAAC